UGGGGAAUAUUGCACAAUGGGGGAAACCCUGAUGCAGCAACGCCGCGUGAGUGAUGACGGCCUUCGGGUUGUAAAGCUCUGUCUUCAGGGACGAUAAUGACGGUACCUGAGGAGGAAGCCACGGCUAACUACGUGCCAGCAGCCGCGGUAAUACGUAGGUGGCGAGCGUUGUCCGGAUUUACUGGGCGUAAAGGGAGCGUAGGCGGACUUUUAAGUGAGAUGUGAAAUACUCGGGCUCAACUUGAGUGCUGCAUUUCAAACUGGAAGUCUAGAGUGCAGGAGAGGAGAAUGGAAUUCCUAGUGUAGCGGUGAAAUGCGUAGAGAUUAGGAAGAACACCAGUGGCGAAGGCGAUUCUCUGGACUGUAACUGACGCUGAGGCUCGAAAGCGUGGGGAGCAAACAGG
Molecule: ribosomal RNA, 404 nt
Filed under: Bacillota bacterium
Lineage: Bacteria; Bacillati; Bacillota
Also listed under: 2 other names
Description: Firmicutes bacterium partial 16S ribosomal RNA
Rfam family: Bacterial small subunit ribosomal RNA
Source: RNAcentral